GAUGAACGCUGGCGGCGUGCUUAACACAUGCAAGUCGAACGAUGAAGCCCAGCUUGCUGGGUGGAUUAGUGGCGAACGGGUGAGUAACACGCGAGCAAACUGCCCCUGUCUCUGGGUUAAGCACUGUAAACGGCGUCUAAUACUUGAUAUGUCAUGUCACCGCCCGGUGUGCGCGUGGAAAGAUGGUGCGGUUGGGGAUAGGCUGGGGGGUUAUCGGCUUGUUUGUGAUGGAAGGUCUGACCACGGCGUCGCCGGGUAGCCGGCCUGAGCGGGUGACCGGGCACAAUGGGACUGCGAGACGGCGCAGACGCCUACGGGAGGCAGCAGUGGGGAAUAUUGCACAAUGGGCGGAAGCCUGAUGCAGCAACGCCGCGUGAGGGAUGACGGCCUACGGGUUGUAAACCUCUGUUAGCGGGGAAGAAGCGAAAGUGACGGUACCUGAAGAAAAAGCACCGGCUAACUACGUG
Molecule: ribosomal RNA, 467 nt
Filed under: uncultured bacterium
Lineage: Bacteria
Description: partial 16S ribosomal RNA
Rfam family: Bacterial small subunit ribosomal RNA
Source: RNAcentral